GCGAUAGCUCAACCAGGAGAGCAUGAGACUCUUAAUCUCAGGGUUGUGGGUUUAAGCCCCACGUUGGGCA
Podarcis lilfordi (Lilford's wall lizard) is the source of this 70-nucleotide non-coding RNA. NCBI's taxonomy places the organism in Eukaryota, Metazoa, Chordata, Lepidosauria, Squamata, Lacertidae. The record is from the annotation of a GenBank genome assembly.